CUGUACGCGGGCGACGUGUUCGUGUUCCCCAGAGGGCUGGUCCACUUCCAGCUCAAUGUGGGCAAGGGCGCGGCGGUGGCCAUCGCGGCGCUCAGCAGCCAGAACCCGGGAGUGCAGCAAGUGGCGCCGGCGCUGUUCGCAGCCAACCCUCCCAUCAACGACGAGGUGCUGGAGAAGGCGUUCCACCUGAACCAGAACCAAGUCCAGCACAUCAAGGCCAGCUUCGUCAAGGCUUGAGCGUCACCACACAGCGCCGUCCAAUUGCUCUCGUACCUUUGAGCGCACGCGCAUCCAGGAGGUAGCGCAUUGCAACGCCUCGGAUUCGUCCCAAACCGACUGCACGCGCAGCUGGCAUGGCAUGGAGGCCGCGCGUCUGAGCACCACAACAGCACGAAGCAUAUGUACGCCCUGUUAGUUGUAGUUGAGGCUGUAGUGAGUGGAGAAGUAGGCUAGGUUUGCGCCAGAGUCGACGGCCGUCGCUGCGAACUGAGCUGUCGGCGUUGUUCUAUAGCCUAGCCUAGUGUAGUGUGCAUUCAUCGUGGGGCGACGUUGUGUCUCGCUUUCACGCCCUCCAUCAGCCAAGAUUCUAUUCAACCAAGUGCUGGCAUCACACCUGGGAUCCCAUUCCGGCCUUCCUUGAGCUGUUGUUUUGUGCAUGAUUGUGGGAGUGGACAAGAAGACUAGUCAAGUGUGAUGCAUAUGAUCGGUACGCUUGUGGUGGGUGCAACGCUUGGGAUUGGAGUAGUGCUUCGGAUUUCGUGAAUCAAGCGAUCCGGGUCCAGGGAAUUGACAAAGCCGGUCACAGGGGAACGACAGAAGUGUCUGGGGAGAAACGAUGCUGCUCCUCCAUGUGGCACAAUCUGGAGGCGGACAAGAAUGUCGGAGGCAACGACUGAAUCAUGGGUUUUUGGGAUGGUUUAGAUCCGUAGAAGCCAUGUCGGUGUACGCAUACGAGUGCGACACAUGCUGGUAUCACCCACAGUUUGUGUGCUUCGAUUUUCAUUUAAUCUAGCCAGAACGACCUUCCAAUCAGGUUGUGUAUGUGUGUACAUACGCACAUACACACAGAUGAGACAUGUAGCGUCUAUGAUUAGGUGUAUGGAUGUUGAAACUUACAGGGGUUGUUAAAGAACCAUGGAAACGGAAUGAAUAGCUGCUUUGUCUUUUUGUUUUAUUUAUUUACUUUAUGUGUUUUUAGUAUUCAUGUUAUCUUUGUGGGCUAUUUUACUUUUGUGGGUAUCUUCUAGAUAUGUGUAUGUGUAUCCAUGGAUGUCUACAUAUUCUCACUUCUUGGUGUACAUACAUCAUCAUUUAAUCAUCACAUCACACACAAAGGCAUUUGUGGUUUUGGGGUAGGUUCAAAAUGGUUUGCAAAAAGGAGUAAAGAAGGGAUUUUGGUAUUGAAGGCUUGUGUUUGAAUUUAUAUGUGUAUGUGUAUGAAUGCAUGUAUUUGUAAAUGUUUUAUUUUUUUUUAUUUUUUAUUAGUUUUAUUUUUAAACUUUUUUGUCAACUUGUUUUCAAAGCAAUAAAAGAAAAAGUAGAAAAUUUAACUUCUUCUAUACUUUUGUAUUUGUUCAAUGCAUUAUAAAAACAUAUUGGCAUUUUCCAUAAAUACAAUCAUGCACUUACACUCAUAUACACACAUAUCCGCAAAAAUAGAAACCAAAACAAUAUGAUAGGUAUAAAAGAUCAAUUAGGUUAGAGUAAUAGAAUGUGCAAUACAAGUUGUAAGGGCCAUUUUCAAUCAAGUCAAGAAUUCUAAUCCAACCACUUUGUUUACUAAUAUUAUUGUUGAUGUUUAUUUCCAAUUCAACUUGUUGCAAUUUUAUUUUUGUAAUCUCCAAUCCUAUCAAUUCUUCCAUUAUAUUGGUUGGCAAGAGUCUCUACCUCUCUACAUGUAAAUAGAGCAACCAAGAAUCUUAGACCAUCAUCUUUCUUCAAAGUACAAGUACAAAUACCAUUGUAAGCUUUUAAAGUCAAAUAUUUGGCAAAGUCUAACUCAAUAGGUUCUUCAAGGAACUGUUUUACUUCUUUGGUACAAUAAAGAAUAUAAAUGGUUGAUAUGUACUCUAAGUCUUAAAUUUUUUUGAUUGAGUUUAGUUUGUAGAUUGGAUUACAUAACUUUGAGUAAUUGCAUUGUGUCCAAGCUUGUGGCAUGUAUUCAAGAAUUUUUUUAACAAAUUUAGCCAAAAAAAACAUCAUGAGCAUAAGUUCUUUGUGGCAAUACAAAAUGACUUUGAAUCACAAUACAAAGCUCAAUCAAAGCAUUGUUUAUUUUUGGAUUGAAUUGAAAUGGCAUGCAUGAAGAUUGAUGGUAUAAAAAUUGACAUUGUAACAUAUUUUGUUGAUUACUUGUUUAUUGAUUGAUUAAAUUAUUUAUUAAAUCUCAUUCAAUUUCAUUUGAUUUUGCUUUAUUUAUAAUGUAGGCUUUUAUUGUUAGACAAACAAUCAAGUUAGACUAGAACAUUAAGAGUAAUGAACUAAUAAUUCCAUCUAAAUGCAAUACUCAUUUGUAGUACUAGAGUACAAACAACAAAAUUCUAUAAACCAAACAAAUCAUUCAAAUUGUGUUUAUAGGCAUUACAUAUGCAUGGCUAAAGUUAAAAAUAACAAUUCUUCUUCGUAUUUUGGCUUUCAAAAACAUAUACAUAAUGAAGAAUAAGUUUGUCUUUGAUUAAAUGUGGUGUUGACCAAAUUCCUAGCCAAUCCAACAAAAACUAUUGUUUGUUUGUUAUUGCAUCAAUUGGUCUUUUUAAUGAAUUGUCAAAAUAAAUCAAACAUGCAUUUAUAAACUCUCUUCCUUCCAAACUCAAAUAAUCAUGAAUAAUUAAAACAAAAUAAUUCCAUAAACUAACAAUUCAUAAAUUUCUAAUGACUUAAUUUGACAAACACAAUGAUUUAUUACAAUGCCAUAUCAUAAAUCAAAUACAAAUUGUGUGUACACAAAAUGCAUGUGUCAUGAUAUUUUGUACUCCAUCUACACACCAAAACCUUCUCAUGUUUGUACAAUCUCAAUCUAUACACAUUUACAUCAAGCCAUGUAAACACAAAAAUACAAAACAAAACAAAACAUCACUAAACAAACAUCAUACUGUUGACUAUCUUGUGAAUGUACAUUUCAUAUGUAUUGUUCAACCACCCCAAACUUUAAAAUGGGUCAAAUCUACAAUGCCUAAUUCAUUUUCAUCAAAGUUUAUUAAACUAAGAAUUGCAUUCUAUUUGCCCUUUCAAAACAAAGCCAUCCAUAUUCUUCCUAGUCCAUGAGACUUUCAUCCACCUCAUUUUAUGCUCAAACAACUAUAAAAGAGGACAAUAAAAACAUCUGCACAUACUUACUUAGCAACAAUACAACACAAGAAAGAAAGACAAAAAGAAAGAGUACAUCUUCACAUGUCAUUCAUCCAUCUUCUAAGCAAAUUCAACCCACAAACAAGCACCAAAUAUUGAUGACUAAAUAGGUCCUUUUCAUGAUUCUUCAAUACCACAAAACCAUAUCCAACAGCGCGUGGGAGAGAAAACAAUAAAAUCAACAGUUAAAAUAAGAUCGAAUACAAAAAAAAAACAAAACAAAAAAAAACAAACAAACAAACAAACAAAUACAUAAUCCCAAGGCACUCAUUCAUGGAAUGUUCUUGUGCCGGAAUCUCUUCUCCACCCCCAACAUCAAUUUCCCUCCCUCCCGUCCUUCCCCCUUCCCUCCAACAUGCGAAAGCGCAACAGCCUCCGCAGCUUCGGGGCUUGUCCCGGCAAGUUGGGUCGGAGGUGCUUUCUCAGGUAUAAAAAACACGCGGGAUCCAGCGAAACGCUCGAUUGACCAGAUAUCGGAGAAAAGCACAGCGGGUCGAGACCUGCAACGACGAAGUGAAGCCCCCUCACGUUCAGCGACGUCGUUGUGCUGUGCGCCGCCUUUCGACAUUACAGCACCGCGUGCAGCGAGACCUGCUGCCUGGCGCACGGCCUUGAAUCCUUCCGGCGUAUAAAAGAGCUGUGCAGCCCAUGGCUUCCCAUCGCUCCAUUCACCAAGCACUCUCCAAGCCCCUACACAUCAGUGCGGCCACGACUCUUCUUGUUGCUCAAAUUCCCCAGGACAGGACAAGACAGCUCAGGACACGACAAGACAACCCAGCGAGCAACACCCGAGAGGGGACGGGAUUCCCAACCAACCCCAGCGGUGAACGAUCGUUGUCACGCAGUGGGCGCACAAUGGAGACGCUUGCCAAGCGCGUCGUGUUCGUGGCGCUCCUCGUCCAGGCCGCUCUGCUACCGAUGCUCUCCAUGGCGGCUGACGCCGAUCCCAUCCAGGACUUCUGCGUCGCAGACGCCUCCAGCACGCUCACCAUCAACGGUCUGGUGUGCAAGCCCGCGGCCGACGUGAAGGUGAACGACUUCCUGUUCAGGGGCCUCGACAAGCCCGGCAACACCGGCGGCCCCACUGCCAACGCCGUCACGCCCGUGGCCGCCGCUCAGCUCCCCGGCCUGAACACUCUGGGCAUCUCCCUGGCUCGCCUGGACUUCGCCAAGGGCGGCAUCAACGUACCCCACAUCCACCCUCGCGCCACCGAGGUCCUGGCGCUGCUGCAGGGGGAGCUGUACGUCGGGUUCGUCAGCACCACCAACAACACGCUGUUCGCCACCACGCUGUACGCGGGCGACGUGUUCGUGUUCCCCAGAGGGCUGGUCCACUUCCAGCUCAAUGUGGGCAAGGGCGCGGCGGUGGCCAUCGCGGCGCUCAGCAGCCAGAACCCGGGAGUGCAGCAAGUGGCGCCGGCGCUGUUCGCAGCCAACCCUCCCAUCAACGACGAGGUGCUGGAGAAGGCGUUCCACCUGAACCAGAACCAAGUCCAGCACAUCAAGGCCAGCUUCGUCAAGGCUUGAGCGUCACCACACAGCGCCGUCCAAUUGCUCUCGUACCUUUGAGCGCACGCGCAUCCAGGAGGUAGCGCAUUGCAACGCCUCGGAUUCGUCCCAAACCGACUGCACGCGCAGCUGGCAUGGCAUGGAGGCCGCGCGUCUGAGCACCACAACAGCACGAAGCAUAUGUACGCCCUGUUAGUUGUAGUU
This 5061-nucleotide long non-coding RNA is filed under the name Physcomitrium patens. Its description in RNAcentral is "long non-coding RNA (PPAT_LNC010381)". Lineage: Eukaryota; Viridiplantae; Streptophyta; Bryopsida; Funariales; Funariaceae. The record is from RNAcentral.